AACGUAGGAGGCGAGCGUUAUCCGGAUUUACUGGGUGUAAAGCGCGUGCAGGCGGUUCUGCAAGUGGGACGUGAAAGCGCCCGGCUCAACUGGGCGAGGCCGUGUGAGACUGAAGAGCUUGAGAGAGGUAGAGGCGAAUGGAAUUCCGGGUGGAGUGGUGAAAUGCGUAGAGAUCCGGAGGAACACCAGUGGCGAAGGCGAUUCGCUGGGCCUACUCUGACGCUCAGACGCGACAGCAUGGGGAGCGAAC
RNAcentral lists this ribosomal RNA (250 nucleotides) under uncultured bacterium. RNAcentral describes it as "partial 16S ribosomal RNA". It matches the Rfam family "Bacterial small subunit ribosomal RNA", at positions 524 to 773 of the family's 1533-position model. The record is from RNAcentral.